Molecule: ribosomal RNA, 451 nt
Filed under: Pseudoalteromonas sp.
Lineage: Bacteria; Pseudomonadati; Pseudomonadota; Gammaproteobacteria; Alteromonadales; Pseudoalteromonadaceae
Description: bacterial SSU rRNA
Rfam family: Bacterial small subunit ribosomal RNA
Source: RNAcentral
AUUGAACGCUGGCGGCAGGCCUAACACAUGCAAGUCGAGCGGUAACAUUUYUAGCUUGYUAGAAGAUGACGAGCGGCGGACGGGUGAGUAAUGCUUGGGAACAUGCCUUGAGGUGGGGGACAACAGUUGGAAACGACUGCUAAUACCGCAUAAUGUCUACGGACCAAAGGGGGCUUCGGCUCUCGCCUUUAGAUUGGCCCAAGUGGGAUUAGCUAGUUGGUGAGGUAAUGGCUCACCAAGGCGACGAUCCCUAGCUGGUUUGAGAGGAUGAUCAGCCACACUGGGACUGAGACACGGCCCAGACUCCUACGGGAGGCAGCAGUGGGGAAUAUUGCACAAUGGGCGCAAGCCUGAUGCAGCCAUGCCGCGUGUGUGAAGAAGGCCUUCGGGUUGUAAAGCACUUUCAGUCAGGAGGAAAGGUUAGUAGUUAAUACCUGCUAGCUGUGACGUA